RNAcentral lists this ribosomal RNA (483 nucleotides) under uncultured bacterium. RNAcentral describes it as "partial 16S ribosomal RNA". It matches the Rfam family "Bacterial small subunit ribosomal RNA", at positions 30 to 506 of the family's 1533-position model. The record is from RNAcentral.
AUUGAACGCUGGCGGCAGGCCUAACACAUGCAAGUCGAGCGGAUGAAGGGAGCUUGCUCCUGGAUUCAGCGGCGGACGGGUGAGUAAUGCCUAGGAAUCUGCCUGGUAGUGGGGGAUAACGUCCGGAAACGGGCGCUAAUACCGCAUACGUCCUGAGGGAGAAAGUGGGGGAUCUUCGGACCUCACGCUAUCAGAUGAGCCUAGGUCGGAUUAGCUAGUUGGUGGGGUAAAGGCCUACCAAGGCGACGAUCCGUAACUGGUCUGAGAGGAUGAUCAGUCACACUGGAACCGAGACACGGUCCAGACUCCUACGGGAGGCAGCAGUGGGGAAGAUUGGACAAUGGGCGAAAGCCUGAUCCAGCCAUGCCGCGUGUGUGAAGAAGGUCUUCGGAUUGUAAAGCACUUUAAGUUGGGAGGAAGGGCAGUAAGUUAAUACCUUGCUGUUUUGACGUUACCAACAGAAUAAGCACCGGCUAACUUCGU